CUGGACAAGUGGGCCUCGAUCCCACAAACUUCUAGUUAACAGCUAGAUGCCACAAACCUGCAGGCUUCCGUCCA
RNAcentral lists this transfer RNA (74 nucleotides) under Chordeiles minor (Common nighthawk). Its description in RNAcentral is "tRNA-Asn". Lineage: Eukaryota; Metazoa; Chordata; Aves; Caprimulgiformes; Caprimulgidae. The record is from RNAcentral.